Molecule: small nucleolar RNA, 91 nt
Filed under: Henningerozyma blattae CBS 6284
Lineage: Eukaryota; Fungi; Ascomycota; Saccharomycetes; Saccharomycetales; Saccharomycetaceae
Description: Tetrapisispora blattae CBS 6284 Small nucleolar RNA snR56
Rfam family: Small nucleolar RNA snR56
Source: Rfam by way of RNAcentral
UUAAAUGAUGAAAAAAUAAUUUACACAGACCUGAUCUGAACGAGCAUUUUGCUUAAUUGUAGAUAACGAUUAUUGCCUUUUUUUUCUGAAU